CAGCACCUCAAGUGGUCAGGAUGAUUAUUGGGCCUAAAGCAUCCGUAGCCGGCGCUGCAAGUUUUCGGUUAAAUCUGUACGCUCAACGUACAGGCUGCCGGGAAUACUGCAGCGCUAGGGAGUGGGAGAGGUAGACGGUACUCGGUAGGAAGGGGUAAAAUCCUUUGAUCUAUUGAUGACCACCUGUGGCGAAGGCGGUCUACCAGAACACGUCCGACGGUGAGGGAUGAAAGCUGGGGGAGCAAAACGGAUUAGAUACCCGAGUAGUCC
Molecule: ribosomal RNA, 270 nt
Filed under: uncultured archaeon
Lineage: Archaea
Description: partial 16S ribosomal RNA
Rfam family: Archaeal small subunit ribosomal RNA
Source: RNAcentral